This 468-nucleotide ribosomal RNA is filed under the name uncultured bacterium. RNAcentral describes it as "partial 16S ribosomal RNA". It matches the Rfam family "Bacterial small subunit ribosomal RNA", at positions 28 to 507 of the family's 1533-position model. The record is from RNAcentral.
GACGAACGCUGGCGGCGUGCUUAACACAUGCAAGUCGAACGGAAAGGCCCUGCUUUUGUGGGGUGCUCGAGUGGCGAACGGGUGAGUAACACGUGAGUAACCUGCCCUUGACUUUGGGAUAACUUCAGGAAACUGGGGCUAAUACCGGAUAGGAGCUCCUGCUGCAUGGUGGGGGUUGGAAAGUUUCGGCGGUUGGGGAUGGACUCGCGGCUUAUCAGCUUGUUGGUGGGGUAGUGGCUUACCAAGGCUUUGACGGGUAGCCGGCCUGAGAGGGUGACCGGGCACAAUGGGACUAAGAGACGGCCCAGACUGCUACGGGAGGCAGCAGUGGGGAAUAUUGCACAAUGGGCGGAAGCCAGAUGCAGCAACGCCGCGUGCGGGAAGACGGCCUUCGGGUUGUAAACCGCUUUCGCCUGUGACAAAGCGUGAGUGACGGUAAUGGGUAAAGAAGCACCGGCUAACUACGUG